CUGACAACAGGUUACAUCACAUUCUCAAGCAUCUGAUACUGAAGCAGCAUGCUAAAGAAUUAAAACCAUCUUAGUAUAAUACACAAAUAUGUGGAGGUAAACAUCAAUUGGCUAGGCAUUUGAUGUGCUCCAGCCAUUUGCAAAACAACUUUCUACCAAAGAUUAACUGUUUCGACAUAACACAGGAACUGAGGCAUGCAUCUGGACUCUAAAGCUCCCUGAUAAAGAAAAGAAAAAGGGAUCUCAUAGUAGUUUUAGGAAAGAAGCCCAAUCAACAUGGCUCAAAGGAUCUACUGCUAAGCGUCUUGAUCUGAGGCACUCCAGGAGAACCCAAGAUGUUUUUCUCCCCCACAUACCAAAAGGACAGAGCUGUCUAGAAGUAAAAGAGCUUGUUGUCUCCGGCAUUUCUCCUUUUGGCCACGAGCUUUAUCUGAUGACCACUGGAGUGUCAUUUUGAUUCUCUUUCUUCACCGUGACAGACCCGAGGAGUGACCACAUUACUCCAGGCAAGACUGACCUCGACCCUUAGGAAAGUAAUCAACCUCUUUCCUGGUGGUCCAUUGCCACAUGCUGUUAGAGCAUCUGCAACAAGCCAAGUGAUGAGCCCAGCAUGCUGAGUGCGAGGGUCAGAGUAGGGCGACUCUGCAUCUCUGCUGCCGGCUCAGACAGGUCUCAACUGGCUGCUCCUUCCACCUUCGGCAAGAUCCGGCAAAUCAAAGCAACUUACAUCACCCUGAAGAUAGCGGAGAGGUUUGAUCAGGAGGAGAGACUGAAGGGAGGGCAAUUGUUGGUAAGAAACAUGACUACCUCCCCUUGUGCCCACCUCCAGGAAAGUAAUUUAGAUUAAGACUUAUCUCUUAAAUAAUUAAGCUUUAAGAGUAGGGAAAUGUACUUUUAUUACCACAGAUUGUAAAGGAAACUCUGGAUCAAUCUAAGAGGAAAUACUGUAUUAUUAAGGGUACUGAGUGCACAGUAAAGAUGAUUUAAAACACCAACACAGCAUCCCGUGCUUUCUGGAUCCAUUCCAGACAUGUGAGCGCUGAAGAUCGAAAUUUCAACAGCCAACACUGCCAUCGUGCGGCAAUCCCGAGUCACUGCAACACGAUUGCAUUUAAAAUGUCUCCUGCGUUGUCGGGCAGUUUUUCUCAAAGCUUUACAAAUGUAGGCGUGACAUGUUUGUUUCGGCUUGCUAAAAAAAAAAGAUAAUAAUAAAUAAAUAAAAUCUUUGAAAACUGUCAAAUCAAAUGGCUACUUCAAAUGACUCAAAACUUCUAAAUGAAAUGUGUAUAAAUCAAUUUGUGUUCAAAAUGCCAAACGUAUUUUUUACAUUACAAAGCUACCCAACUUUAACAAAACUCAGACCAGACCUUGCAUUUCAGUUUCAUAGCACUCCGAAACAAAUUUAAAUUCCUAAGAUCUUUGUUUUAUAGCAGUUGACUUGCCGUUUUGACUUCCCAGCAUUUGUGUUCUAAAACUAACAUUUUACUUAAUCAUUUAAAUUAAUGAAUACGAGUCUACCCAUUUUAUUGUGUCCAACCUUUCACUUCUGUAAUUGCUUUCUUUGCAUACCUUUAUGCAACUUGUUACCAAUUGGCUCCUUUACUUUGAGCCUCUGAAAGGUAACUUAACACUGCCAUCAUGUGGUGAUUUCAAAUUACUGCAUUUUCCUUCUUUGAUUUUUCAAUAAUUUACUGCUUCAGUUAAACUUGCUGUAUUCUAAAAGUUAUAAAAUAAAAUAGAAAGUAUUUGAUUAGUUAACAUAGAAUCACAAUGAUUUCAACAUUAUUCAGUUUUAUUGAAACAACUUUAUUAAAACAAAUGAACAGUGGCAUAAAAUGUCCCGUUUCUGUCCAAUUCCACUACUGGAAAACACUGGUGGGUUUUGAAAACAGGUGGUAUAUUGAUUGCGGUCCAAGUUUAAAAAAGAAAAAAAAAAAAAAAGUCACGAGGUUCAGUUCGUUCAUAUACAGGCCCAAGUUUCAACAUCAGAGCUCCCCAUGUGGCUCUGGAGUCGUCUCCAA
Gambusia affinis (western mosquitofish) is the source of this 2021-nucleotide long non-coding RNA. RefSeq lists it as uncharacterized. The transcript is spliced from 4 exons. The record is from RefSeq and is a predicted model, not a curated record. Lineage: Eukaryota; Metazoa; Chordata; Actinopteri; Cyprinodontiformes; Poeciliidae.